GACGGGGGGGGGCAAGUGUUCUUCGGACUGCCUGGGCGUAAGGGGCCCGUGGGCGGUGAAUCGGGUUGAAAGUGAAAGUCGCCAAAAAGUGGCGGAAUGCUCUCGAAACCAAUUCACUUGAGUGAGACAGAGGAGAGUGGAAUUUCGUGUGUAGGGGUGAAAUCCGUAGAUCUACGAAGGAACGCCAAAAGCGAAGGCAGCUCUCUGGGUCACUACCGACGCUGGGGUGCGAAAGCAUGGGGAGCGAACAGG
Molecule: ribosomal RNA, 252 nt
Filed under: uncultured bacterium
Lineage: Bacteria
Description: partial 16S ribosomal RNA
Rfam family: Bacterial small subunit ribosomal RNA
Source: RNAcentral